Molecule: ribosomal RNA, 269 nt
Filed under: uncultured Flavobacterium sp.
Lineage: Bacteria; Pseudomonadati; Bacteroidota; Flavobacteriia; Flavobacteriales; Flavobacteriaceae
Description: partial 16S ribosomal RNA
Rfam family: Bacterial small subunit ribosomal RNA
Source: RNAcentral
UUGCCAGCGAGUCAAGUCGGGAACGUCUAGCAAGACUGCCAGUGCAAACUGUGAGGAAGGUGGGGAUGACGUCAAAUCAUCACGGCCCUUACGCCUUGGGCUACACACGUGCUACAAUGGACGGUACAGAGAGCAGCCACUACGCAAGUAGGCGCGAAUCUUCAAAGCCGUUCUCAGUUCGGAUCGGAGUCUGCAACUCGACUCCGUGAAGCUGGAUUCGCUAGUAAUCGCAGAUCAGCCAUGCUGCGGUGAAUACGUUCCCGGGCCUU